RNAcentral lists this non-coding RNA (68 nucleotides) under Microbacterium sp. The record is from RNAcentral. RNAcentral also lists the same sequence under 1 other name. Lineage: Bacteria; Bacillati; Actinomycetota; Actinomycetes; Micrococcales; Microbacteriaceae.
AGGCGGUCGGCGAACUCCGACCCCGGACGAGGUAGACCAGUACCCGGUGAGCGAAAAGACUGGUCCGG